Molecule: ribosomal RNA, 507 nt
Filed under: Streptomyces sp. 310B03
Lineage: Bacteria; Bacillati; Actinomycetota; Actinomycetes; Kitasatosporales; Streptomycetaceae
Description: bacterial SSU rRNA
Rfam family: Bacterial small subunit ribosomal RNA
Source: RNAcentral
UAGUGGCGAACGGGUGAGUAACACGUGGGCAAUCUGCCCUUCACUCUGGGACAAGCCCUGGAAACGGGGUCUAAUACCGGAUACCACUCCUGCCCGCAUGGGUGGGGGUUGAAAGCUCCGGCGGUGAAGGAUGAGCCCGCGGCCUAUCAGCUUGUUGGUGGGGUAAUGGCCCACCAAGGCGACGACGGGUAGCCGGCCUGAGAGGGCGACCGGCCACACUGGGACUGAGACACGGCCCAGACUCCUACGGGAGGCAGCAGUGGGGAAUAUUGCACAAUGGGCGAAAGCCUGAUGCAGCGACGCCGCGUGAGGGAUGACGGCCUUCGGGUUGUAAACCUCUUUCAGCAGGGAAGAAGCGAAAGUGACGGUACCUGCAGAAGAAGCGCCGGCUAACUACGUGCCAGCAGCCGCGGUAAUACGUAGGGCGCAAGCGUUGUCCGGAAUUAUUGGGCGUAAAGAGCUCGUAGGCGGCUUGUCACGUCGGAUGUGAAAGCCCGAGGCUUAACC